AGUGAACGCUGGCGGUAGGCCUAACACAUGCAAGUCGAACGGCAGCACAGUAAGAGCUUGCUCUUACGGGUGGCGAGUGGCGGACGGGUGCGGAAUACAUCGGAAUCUACUUUUUCGUGGGGGCUAACGUAGGGGAACUUACGCUAAUACCGCAUACGACCUACGUGUGAAAGCAGGGGAUCUUCGGACCUUGCGCGAUCGAAAGACCCGAUGUCGGAUUAGCUAGUUGGCGGGGUAAAGGCCCACCAAGGCGACGAUCCGUAGCUGGUCUGAGAGGAUGAUCAGCCACACUGGAACUGAGACACGGUCCAGACUCCUACGGGAGGCAGCAGUGGGGAAUAUUGGACAAUGGGCGCAAGCCUGAUCCAGCCAUACCGCGUGGGUGAAGAAGGCCUUCGGGUUGUAAAGCCCUUUUGUUGGGAAAGAAAAGCAGCAGGUUAAUACCCCGCUGUUCUGACGGUACCCAAAGAAUAAGCACCGGCUAACUUCGUG
Molecule: ribosomal RNA, 492 nt
Filed under: uncultured bacterium
Lineage: Bacteria
Description: partial 16S ribosomal RNA
Rfam family: Bacterial small subunit ribosomal RNA
Source: RNAcentral